This 198-nucleotide ribosomal RNA is filed under the name Lachnospira multipara. RNAcentral's name for it is "23S rRNA. Bacterial LSU". It matches the Rfam family "Bacterial large subunit ribosomal RNA", at positions 2726 to 2925 of the family's 2925-position model. Lineage: Bacteria; Bacillati; Bacillota; Clostridia; Lachnospirales; Lachnospiraceae. The record is from RNAcentral.
UUACCAAGUGCAUGGCCGAGUAGCCAAGUCGGGACGGGAUAAACGCUGAAGGCAUCUAAGCGUGAAGCCCCCCUCAAGAUGAGAUAUCCCAUACGAAUGUAGUAAGACCCCUUGAAGACGACGAGGUUGAUAGGCAAAAGGUGGAAGCGUGGUGACAUGUGGAGCUGAUUUGUACUAAUAGGUCGAGGGCUUAACCAA